This 117-nucleotide ribosomal RNA is filed under the name Oncorhynchus mykiss (rainbow trout). The record is from RNAcentral. Lineage: Eukaryota; Metazoa; Chordata; Actinopteri; Salmoniformes; Salmonidae.
GCUUACGGCCACCUGCCUGAGUACGCCUGAUCUCGUCCGAUCUCGGAAGCUAAGCAGGGUCGGGCCUGGUUAGUACUUGGAUGGGAGACCGCCUGGGAAUACCAGGUGCUGUAAGCU